This 24-nucleotide microRNA is filed under the name Zea mays. RNAcentral's name for it is "microRNA miR-3239". Lineage: Eukaryota; Viridiplantae; Streptophyta; Magnoliopsida; Poales; Poaceae. The record is from RNAcentral.
AAAAUAGACUUAUUUCUGACGGCC